GUCGUGAUGAUGCUUUAAGCAGGAGGCGAAGAAAAUCUUCUUACUUUGGACUCUGAAGUCACAGAGGCAACUGAACCAAGUUCCAAGACACCACAACCGAAAGGCUUACCCAAACCAAGCCAAGGACAUCUAUCCACUAAACAAGUUGAGCCCAGUUCAGCGUGGAGUCAGGAGUAUAAGGGACUCUGAUAAGACGGCGUCUUUUUCCUUCAGCGUGGACGUCGAGAAUGAGCGUCACUCAUCGCAAAGCAUUGGUUCAAGGUGCUCUUCGUCCCAGAAGACGCUUCUCUCUCCGUGGUGCACUUAUCCAAAAUUUUCAUCUUAAGAUUUUUAAAUUGUGGAUGAAACAAAUACGACAAAUCCGGUUGUAUCGUGUCCAUCGUGUCCAUCAUUGAGAAGUAUUAUUGUUGCAGCAGUAAAAGUUUUCUCGUAAACAGUCGUGGCAGACCGUAUAGAAAUCGAUUCUUGCCCCCGUAUCUCAGAAAUUCUGAACGGAUCGUCCGUCUCCCCGGCCGUCCACAAAACCGAUACACCCAAACGGCCCCCUUCGUCUGCGUUCAUCCUAACGUCGGGCACAAGAAUGUGAACCGAGUAAUGUCGCGGUACGUGGAACACCAGAAGAGAGCCUGCGUUCAGGACGAAGACGGGAAUUUCUGGUUCCGAGGGUCACUGACGGCUGAGAAGGAGAGGAAUUCGUCCACCACAGAUUCCGGCCUUAGCGAAACCAGCACCGACGAAGGAUCUCAAUUCCUUGUGCGGAAAUCCAGCAAGGAUCGAGAUGGUGCUGUGAGUCCAGAUUUGGGCGUCUAUUUGAAUAGAGACGAAAUAAUUGACUUUGAAGACGAACUGUAUGACAAGUUGUCCACGUUUAAAAUUGCGGAUAGGAAAUUUUGUCGAAAACUUCCGCAGAUUCGUAAAUGUGAAUUUAAAAAUUGGAAUGUUGAUUCAGUUUUCGGAAUGUUAUUUUAGUCAGUAAUUUUUACACAUGUGGCGAAUUAAAAUUGUAUCGUGUACCGACUUUAAUGAAUUUAAGUUGCUUAUUGUUUUACGAUUCAAUAUAGUGUAAAAUCUGUAUAUAUUUUUCGAUCAAUUAUUUUACCAAA
Folsomia candida is the source of this 1103-nucleotide long non-coding RNA. RefSeq lists it as uncharacterized. The record is from RefSeq and is a predicted model, not a curated record. Lineage: Eukaryota; Metazoa; Arthropoda; Collembola; Entomobryomorpha; Isotomidae. The transcript has 4 exons.